GGGUCAGGACGACCUGACCCCGGGGUAGCCCCGGCGGGGACGGCCCCG
RNAcentral lists this non-coding RNA (48 nucleotides) under Corynebacterium halotolerans. RNAcentral describes it as "Guanidine-II sequence". It matches the Rfam family "Guanidine-II riboswitch aptamer (mini-ykkC)". From Rfam's summary of the family: Simpler in structure and has fewer highly conserved nucleotide positions than the ykkC-yxkD leader. Despite this each of its two stem-loop structures directly bind free guanidine. The record is from RNAcentral. Lineage: Bacteria; Bacillati; Actinomycetota; Actinomycetes; Mycobacteriales; Corynebacteriaceae. RNAcentral also lists the same sequence under 1 other name.